Molecule: long non-coding RNA, 3825 nt
Organism: Gopherus flavomarginatus (Mexican gopher tortoise)
Lineage: Eukaryota; Metazoa; Chordata; Testudines; Testudinidae
Exons: 2
Source: RefSeq, a predicted model, not a curated record
CUCCUCUUUGCUGUUCCCCUUUCUUUCCGUUGACUCUAGCACUGGGAAUGACUCUAGUCUGAAUUCCCUCUGUGUCCCAACAGGUGAAGAGAUGCUGAGUGAGAAUGAAGAGAAGAAUCUCCAGUAGGGAACCUCUAAGCAAGUGGAGCUCCAUGGGACGUUAUCAGGAAGUUUUAAAUGGAACGGUUCCUGGAGCGUUGACCAGGGAACAUCCCAUAAGAGUCAUUGCAGAUCAGAAAGACAUCAGAGAAACCAACUGUGAAAGGAAGUAAUUAAAUCUCUUAUUUGUGGGGAAAGGUACAAAGGCCUCAAGGAAACCACAGCCCAGCAGAGAAUCCACACACACGAGUGGAAAAAAACACAUGCACAACGCACAGCAAUGUGGAAAAAGAUUUAGUGACAACUUGCACCUUAUGGGACAUCAAAGAAUUCACAGAGGAGAGACCCUAUAAAUUCAUUAACUCUGGGAGUUAGUUUAGCAACAGAAGCAAACCUUCUUAUGCAUCGGAGAACCCACACACAGGAGAGAAGCCCUGCAAAUGACUUUACUGUGAGCCACCUUUUUUUCAGCGCUCACAUCUUAUUUCACAUCACAGAAUCCACACAGGAGAUAAACCAUUUGUAGGCCUGUGGGGAAAAUUUCAAUCGGAGGUCAAACCUAGUUUGAUAUCAGAGAGUCCAUACAGGCGAGACACCCUAUAAAUGCACUGAGUGUGGGAAGGAAUUUAGUGAUAAGUCACGCCAUAUGGGACAUCAGAGAACCCACACAGGAGAUAAACCCCAUAAAUACCUUGACAGUGGGAAAAGCUUUAGUGACAACUCACAACUUAUUACACAUCAAAGCGCACAAAUGGGUGAGAGUCCCUAUAAGUGCCUCGAUUGUGGGAAAAUAUUCCUUCAAAGCUACAAUCUCCUCAUGCACCAGCGAAUCCAUACAGGGGAAACACCCUAUAAAUGCCCCGAUUGUGGGAAAGGCUUCAAUCGAAGUGCAAACCUUACUAGACACUAGAGAAUCCACGUAGGAGAAAAAGUGCCUACCAGCCUCGACUCUGGGGAAAAGGUUAGUGAUAAGUCACAACUUACUACACAUCACAGAAGCCACUCAGAAGCGAAACCCUAUGUAUGCAAGGACUGUGGGAACAGUUUCAUUCAGAGCUCAGAUCUGAUUGUGCAUCAGAGAGUUCAUACCGGAGAAACACCCUAUAAAUGCCCCGACUGUGGGAAAUAUUUCACUCGGAGUUCAACCCUUACUAGACAUCAGAGAAUCCACAGAGGGGGGAGAAACACCCAUACAUGCCUGGACUGUGGGAAAAGUUUCAUUCAGAGGUCAGAUCUUCUUGUGCAUCAGAGAAUCCACAUGAGAGGGGGGAAAACAUAAAAGCCUCCACUUAUGAGCAAAAGUUUAGUAACAAGUCACGUCUUACCAGACACUGGAGAACCCAUAUUGGAGAAAGUUCUUAUUAAUCCUCGGACUGUGGGAAAAGUUUCCAUCAGAGUUCAGUUCAUAUUUCACAUCAAAGGAUCCACAUGUCAGAGCGACUGUGUACGUACUCCGAAUGUGUGAACUGCUUCAUUCACAGCUCACAGCUUUGUAUACAUCAGAUAGUCCAUGCAGGAGAGAGACCCUAUAAAUCAGUGGUUCUUAACCUUUCCAGACUACUAUACCCCUUUCAGGAGCUUGAUUUGUCUAGUUUCACCUCACUCAAAAAUGACUUGCUUACAAAAUCACACAUAAAAACACAUCCUCUCCCAAGGCCCCCUUCCCCCCCACCUGUGGGGUAUGAUUACACGGCAGUGUAGGUCUGAGCUCAUAUUCGUGCCAGCCCCCCCUUCCAUCUAUUCACAAGUUUGCCUGACUUAGGCCAGUAAACCCUUGGAACCUGGACCCUAGGACCCGAAAAGGGAGGUGAGCGUGUCGGAGCCCCAGUCCUGUUGGAACUUGGGGUUCAUUUUGCAGCGUGGACUUAGCUGGGGCCCGGGUCUUCAGACUCGUGUUCUGAGAGUCCACUAGUGCUACCCCACAAUCCCCUGGGUGUUUGUCCCUGCCGUUGUGUUCUGACCCCUGAGCUGCAAACAGAGAGAUCCAUCCCCUGCGUUAGCUACGGCUGCCGGUAAAAGGACGGCCUUUGCCCAGUGCGCUGGUCAUGGGACCAGCGUCAGCUUCUGAUCAAUCUGCAGUGUGAGGUGAGCCAGACAUUGGAGUCAGUGAGAGCAUCGGAAAUGACCAGGUGUACCAGAAAAUAGCGGGCAGCCUGACAGAGUUGGGGAUUAAACAGACCCAUGACCAGUGCAGGGAGCCAGGGCUGGCUUUAGGGGUCGGUGGGCUGGGCCGCUGUGCUUGGGGGGGGGGGUGUUGGUCCCUCCUUCCCAGCUGCCCUGCCGACAGCCAGCGGGCUUGGAGGCAGCCAGACAGGUGCAGCAGUGCCUGGAGAGGGGAGACAGACCAAGAUGCAGUGGGGGCGGCUGGUAACUCUUCCGAAGCAGGGGUGCCCCUCAUCCCCUGCUACCCUGCUCCACUGGGUCUGCAGCUGCUGCUGCUCCUGCUACCCUCAUCCCCACAGAGCCACCCCAGCCAAGCUCGGAACCUGGAGUCUGCCUCCUGUCUGCAGUGAGGGUAGGGGGCUCAGAUCUCAGGGUGUCCCCCUCCCCACGCUUGCGUACCCGGUAUCCACUGAGCUGGCAAUCAUGGGGAGCUUGUGUGUGCUGGUGACUCUGGGUGCCCAGUGGGUGCUGCCAGUGCUGCUGUUCUGGUUCCUGAAUGCUCUGCUUAAAGAGACGGUGCGCUGACACACUCACUUCGGCACACUCAUACUUCCCUGAUACACACACACACACACACAAUCUCACAGACACACAGUCUCUCAGACACUCCCCCAACAUACACACACAGUCUCUCUCACUCCCCCAGCACUCUCUCGCGCACACACAUGCAUAUUAUUGUUGUUAUUGUUACUUCUUGGUACUUCAAGGCACAUAUAUUCUUUGUAAUUUUAUUCUUCUCAAGUUUGUUAAGGAUCACAGUGCUGUUAUUUUCGAUUUUUUAACUGGUCUGUGCAUUUCAUCAUUUUAUUUCUCUCUUAUGCUUAAAUUUAAUUCUUUGAGUAGUGAGUUCUAAAAUGCCUAACCUGUCCUGGCUGGAGUAAUUCUCAUUAGUACUUUUAUUACCAUGUUGUGCAUUGUCAUUCAUUAUUUAAAGUGGUCCCAUCAAAUAAUAAUAUCCUUCUGGAAUGUAAAUUUAGCUUGUAAUCACCUGAGCAGUGCCGGUUCAAAAAAAAUUAGCUAAACACAUAAUUGCAGAUACUGUGUAGAUGAAGGUCGCUUAUUUUCAAAUGGCAUUUUUAGUUAGAUCUGUAAAAUAACUUCAAAUUAAUAGGAACAUAAAUGCGGUUCCAAGUCUGAUGCUAACAGUAAUGAUGGAGUCAAACGUUAGUGAGUCACGUACGUGAUUGUGAUCGGUAAACAUAAAUGCCAAAAUAAUUAGAAAACUAAAUUCCUGUUCUUAAUAAAAGAGGGGGAAAAAAUCUUACUCACAUAUGUUAAAAUGAAGUAAAUAAGUUUUGAGUGGAGUAUAAAACAAUUGACUAAAAUAGUCGAUAAUGGCAGUAACACAGUGUGUCUGUUAGACAAAGCAAGCAGAUUUUAAGCAGAUUUUAUUGAUUUUUAUUUCUGUCUCCUAAAGAUAGUCUGGAAAAUAUCACACUUGUGUUUCUGAUACCUGUAUUAAAGCUCCAGAACAGAUCCCUCAAGGCUUGGGAUUGGAAAUAUCUUGCGGUAUUGUCUCCUGAUUGUUCUAAACUUUCAUAUAAACUGAAAAUGUGGCUUUAA